Molecule: ribosomal RNA, 247 nt
Filed under: uncultured bacterium
Lineage: Bacteria
Description: partial 16S ribosomal RNA
Rfam family: Bacterial small subunit ribosomal RNA
Source: RNAcentral
CACGUAGGGCGCAAGCGUUGUCCGGAAUUAUUGGGCGUAAAGAGCUCGUAGGCGGUCUGUUGCGUCCGCUGUGAAAACUCGGGGCUUAACCCCGAGCCUGCAGUGGAUACGGGCAGACUAGAGGGUAGGUAGGGGAGAAUGGGAAUUCCCGGUGUAGCGGUGAAAUGCGCAGAUAUCGGGAGGAACACCGGUGGCGAAGGCGGUUCUCUGGGCCUUACCUGACGCUGAGGAGCGAAACGUGGGGGAG